GUACACAAAAGCACAAACCCAUGUGCUUGAUGUCAACCAGGACUUGAUUUGUGUGGUGCCAAAUGACAUCCCUAGCUUGAUGGUUAUCACCAAACCAAUAUAUGUAUGGCAGCAACAAAUUUGUGGUACUUGAACUAGAAUACAAUCUUGGGUGCCUCAUCCAACAAGCAACGAGAGAGCCUUUUUUGUGGUUAUGCAGCGACAUGGCUUGGCUAAUAAACAAGAUAGUAUAUACGGGCGAUCCGGUGAAAGGAAAAAUGGAAGGCACGGAAGAAAAGAGAGAUGAUUUGGGCAUGAAUGGUUAGAUUCUGUGGCCGUGGAAGGCCAUGGAAUUGAUGGCCAGCAGACGUACCUGCAGCUGCAGCGUUUGGUCUUGACGGUCCAAGUCAUCCAACCGGCCGGCCAAGACGCUCAGAACCCAAUCUCCAGCGUGUGGCCUGUGGGGGAUCGGGAAGCUGAUCCACAAGCAGGGGUGUGUGUAUGCCGCCUCCUCCUCCAAGCUCCCCACCGCAGCACUAUGCCAAUCCAUGUGUAUUUAAGGCAUCUCAUAGCUGGGCCUCUAUACUUUGAGCAGCAGCAGUCAUUCAUCACCGAUCACCAGCACAGCCGCGCAUCCACCGUUGCUAGCAAGGUCGACCAAGCAGCACCGAGAUGGCUGCUGCCUUCUCCUCCACCGUCGGUGCCCCGGCUUCUACGCCGACCAACUUCCUUGGGAAGAAGCUCAAGAAGCAGGUGACCUCGGCCGUGAACUACCAUGGCAAGAGCUCCAAGGCCAACAGGUUCACAGUCAUGGCAGCGGAAAACCUCGACGAGAAGAGGAACACGGACAAGUGGAAGGGUCUUGCGUACGAUAUCUCCGACGACCAGCAGGACAUCACCAGAGGGAAGGGCAUCGUGGACUCGCUCUUCCAGGCGCCCACGGGCGACGGCACCCACGAGGCCGUCCUCAGCUCCUACGAGUACGUCAGCCAGGGACUCAAGAAGUACGACUUCGACAACACCAUGGGAGGCUUCUACAUCGCUCCUGCUUUCAUGGACAAGCUUGUUGUCCAUCUCUCCAAGAACUUCAUGACCCUGCCCAACAUCAAGAUCCCACUCAUCUUGGGUAUCUGGGGAGGCAAGGGUCAAGGAAAAUCAUUCCAGUGCGAGCUUGUCUUCGCCAAGAUGGGCAUCAACCCAAUCAUGAUGAGUGCCGGAGAGCUGGAGAGUGGCAACGCCGGAGAGCCAGCCAAGCUCAUCAGGCAGCGGUACCGUGAGGCUGCAGACAUGAUCAAGAAGGGUAAGAUGUGCUGCCUCUUCAUCAACGAUCUUGACGCUGGUGCGGGUCGGAUGGGCGGGACCACACAGUACACCGUCAACAACCAGAUGGUGAACGCCACCCUCAUGAACAUCGCCGAUGCCCCCACCAACGUGCAGCUCCCAGGCAUGUACAACAAGGAGGAGAACCCUCGUGUGCCCAUCGUCGUCACUGGUAACGAUUUCUCGACGUUGUACGCCCCUCUGAUCCGUGAUGGCCGUAUGGAGAAGUUCUACUGGGCUCCCACCCGCGACGACCGUAUCGGUGUCUGCAAGGGUAUCUUCCAGACCGACAAUGUCAGCGACGAGUCCGUCGUCAAGAUCGUCGACACCUUCCCAGGACAAUCCAUCGACUUUUUCGGUGCUCUGCGUGCUCGGGUGUACGACGACGAGGUGCGCAAGUGGGUGACCUCUACCGGUAUCGAGAACAUUGGCAAGAGGCUGGUGAACUCGCGGGACGGACCCGUGACCUUUGAGCAGCCAAAGAUGACAGUGGAGAAGCUGCUAGAGUACGGGCACAUGCUUGUCCAGGAGCAGGACAAUGUCAAGCGUGUGCAGCUUGCUGACACCUACAUGAGCCAGGCAGCUCUGGGUGAUGCUAACCAGGAUGCGAUGAAGACUGGUUCCUUCUACGGUUAGAACAUUCUCCAUACACACCCACCAUCUCUUGCUGCAUAGGAGGAGGUAAAGGGGCACAGCAAGGUACUUUGCCUGUACCGGCAGGAUGCACCGACCAGACUGCCAAGAACUUCGACCCAACGGCGAGGAGUGACGACGGGAGCUGCCUUUACACCUUUUAAGCAUGCCAAUUUAAUAUCUGAUGUUUUAUCCUUUGUACCUAAGUACCGCAUCGCAUCCAAGCGAUUGCUGGGCAUGUUUUGUUAAUAUAAAAAGAUAUUGAGUAUACCUAUUUGGUAAAGACAAAUAGAACUACUUAUCAUUUGUCACUCUCUGUAUUCAUUCCUUCAGUGGAGACUGCUUCUGCUUUAUUGCAAACAGAACAAAAAAGUACUAAUUUGCGCUUCAGCUUAUUAAUUAUUGUUGCACAAA
This 2346-nucleotide ribosomal RNA is filed under the name Triticum aestivum (bread wheat). Its description in RNAcentral is "partial small subunit ribosomal RNA". The record is from RNAcentral. Lineage: Eukaryota; Viridiplantae; Streptophyta; Magnoliopsida; Poales; Poaceae.